CUUGCUAGGAGGCGUCGAGCGGCGGACGGGUGAGUAAUGCAUAGGAAUCUACCCAGUCGUGGGGGAUAACCUGAGGAAACUCAGGCUAAUACCGCAUACGUCCUACGGGAGAAAGCGGGGGCUCUUCGGACCUCGCGCGAUUGGAUGAGCCUAUGUCGGAUUAGCUAGUUGGUAAGGUAACGGCUUACCAAGGCGACGAUCCGUAGCUGGUCUGAGAGGAUGAUCAGCCACACCGGGACUGAGACACGGCCCGGACUCCUACGGGAGGCAGCAGUGGGGAAUAUUGGACAAUGGGCGAAAGCCUGAUCCAGCCAUGCCGCGUGUGUGAAGAAGGCUUUCGGGUUGUAAAGCACUUUCAGCGAGGAAGAAAGCGUGCCGGUCAAUACCCGGUACGGACGACAUCACUCGCAGAAGAAGCACCGGCUAACUCCGUGCCAGCAGCCGCGGUAAUACGGAGGGUGCAAGCGUUAAUCGGAAUUACUGGGCGUAAAGCGCGCGUAGGCGGCGUGUCACGCCGGGUGUGAAAGCCCCGGGCUCAACCUGGGAACGGCAUCCGGAACGGGCAGGCUAGAGUGCAGGAGAGGAAGGUAGAAUUCCCGGUGUAGCGGUGAAAUGCGUAGAGAUCGGGAGGAAUACCAGUGGCGAAGGCGGCCUUCUGGACUGACACUGACGCUGAGGUGCGAAAGCGUGGGUAGCAAACAGGAUUAGAUACCCUGGUAGUCCACGCCGUAAACGAUGUCGACUAGCCGUUGGGUCCCUUGAGGACUUAGUGGCGCAGUUAACGCGAUAAGUCGACCGCCUGGGGAGUACGGCCGCAAGGUUAAAACUCAAAUGAAUUGACGGGGGCCCGCACAAGCGGUGGAGCAUGUGGUUUAAUUCGAUGCAACGCGAAGAACCUUACCUACCCUUGACAUCCUGCGAACCCGGAAGAGAUUCCGGGGUGCCUUCGGGAGCGCAGAGACAGGUGCUGCAUGGCUGUCGUCAGCUCGUGUUGUGAAAUGUUGGGUUAAGUCCCGUAACGAGCGCAACCCUUGUCCCUAUUUGCCAGCGAUUCGGUCGGGAACUCUAGGGAGACUGCCGGUGACAAACCNGGAGGAAGGUGGNGGACGACGUCAAGUCAUCAUGGNCCCUUACGGGUAGGGCUACACACGUGCUACAAUGGCCGGUACAAAGGGUUGCGAAAGCGCGAGCUGAAGCUAAUCCCGAAAAGCCGGUCUCAGUCCGGAUCGGAGUCUGCAACUCGACUCCGCGAAGUCGGAAUCGCUAGUAAUCGUGCAUCAGAAUGGCACGGUGAAUACGUUCCCGGGCCUUGUACACACCGCCCGUCACACCAUGGAAGUGGACUGCACCAGAAGUGGUAGAC
RNAcentral lists this ribosomal RNA (1363 nucleotides) under Chromohalobacter canadensis. Its description in RNAcentral is "bacterial SSU rRNA". It matches the Rfam family "Bacterial small subunit ribosomal RNA", at positions 77 to 1434 of the family's 1533-position model. The record is from RNAcentral. Lineage: Bacteria; Pseudomonadati; Pseudomonadota; Gammaproteobacteria; Oceanospirillales; Halomonadaceae.